AACGAACGCUGGCGGCAUGCCUAACACAUGCAAGUCGAACGAGACCUUCGGGUCUAGUGGCGCACGGGUGCGUAACGCGUGGGAAUCUGCCCUUCGGUUCGGAACAACAGUUAGAAAUGACUGCUAAUACCGGAUAAUGACGUAAGUCCAAAGAUUUAUCGCCGAAGGAUGAGCCCGCGUAAGAUUAGGUAGUUGGUGGGGUAAUGGCCUACCAAGCCGACGAUCUUUAGCUGGUCUGAGAGGAUGAUCAGCCACACUGGGACUGAGACACGGCCCAGACUCCUACGGGAGGCAGCAGUGGGGAAUAUUGGACAAUGGGCGAAAGCCUGAUCCAGCAAUGCCGCGUGAGUGAUGAAGGCCUUAGGGUUGUAAAGCUCUUUUACCAGGGAUGAUAAUGACAGUACCUGGAGAAUAAGCUCCGGCUAACUCCGUGCCAGCAGCCGCGGUAUACGUCUACUG
RNAcentral lists this ribosomal RNA (459 nucleotides) under uncultured bacterium. Its description in RNAcentral is "bacterial SSU rRNA". It matches the Rfam family "Bacterial small subunit ribosomal RNA", at positions 29 to 532 of the family's 1533-position model. The record is from RNAcentral.